RNAcentral lists this ribosomal RNA (471 nucleotides) under uncultured bacterium. Its description in RNAcentral is "SSU rRNA". It matches the Rfam family "Bacterial small subunit ribosomal RNA", at positions 26 to 518 of the family's 1533-position model. The record is from RNAcentral.
AGGACGAACGCUGGCGGCGUGCUUAACACAUGCAAGUCGAGCGGAAAGGCCCUUCGGGGUACUCGAGCGGCGAACGGGUGAGUAACACGUGAGCAACCUGCCCUUAGCUUCGGGAUAGCUCCGGGAAACCGGAAUUAAUACCGGAUAUGACUAUGGCCGACAUCAGCCAUGGUGGAAAGUUUUUCGGCUAGGGAUGGACUCGCGGCCUAUCAGCUAGUUGGUGAGGUAACGGCUCACCAAGGCGACGACGGGUAGCCGGCCUGAGAGGGCGACCGGCCACACUGGGACUGAGACACGGCCCAGACUCCUACGGGAGGCAGCAGUGGGGAAUAUUGCGCAAUGGGCGAAAGCCUGACGCAGCGACGCCGCGUGGGGAUGAAUGCCUUCGGGUUGUAACCCCUUUCAGCAGGGACGAAGCGAAGUGACGGUACCUGCAGAAGAAGCGCCGGCUAACUACGUGCCAGCAGCCGC